UUGAACGUGCUUGCACGGACUUGACGUUGGUUUACCAGCGAGUGGCGGACGGGUGAGUAACACGUAGGUAACCUGCCCCAAAGCGGGGGAUAACAUUUGGAAACAGAUGCUAAUACCGCAUAACAAUUUGAAUCGCAUGAUUCAAAUUUAAAAGAUGGCUUCGGCUAUCACUUUGGGAUGGACCUGCGGCGCAUUAGCUUGUUGGUAGGGUAACGGCCUACCAAGGCUGUGAUGCGUAGCCGAGUUGAGAGACUGAUCGGCCACAAUGGAACUGAGACACGGUCCAUACUCCUACGGGAGGCAGCAGUAGGGAAUCUUCCACAAUGGGCGCAAGCCUGAUGGAGCAACACCGCGUGAGUGAAGAAGGGUUUCGGCUCGUAAAGCUCUGUUGUUAGAGAAGAACGUGCGUGAGAGCAACUGUUCACGCAGUGACGGUAUCUAACCAGAAAGUCACGGCUAACUACGUGCCAGCAGCCGCGGUAAUACGUAGGUGGCAAGCGUUAUCCGGAUUUAUUGGGCGUAAAGCGAGCGCAGGCGGUUUGAUAAGUCUGAUGUGAAAGCCUUUGGCUUAACCAAAGAAGUGCAUCGGAAACUGUCAGACUUGAGUGCAGAAGAGGACAGUGGAACUCCAUGUGGUAGC
Molecule: ribosomal RNA, 640 nt
Filed under: Limosilactobacillus mucosae
Lineage: Bacteria; Bacillati; Bacillota; Bacilli; Lactobacillales; Lactobacillaceae
Description: bacterial SSU rRNA
Rfam family: Bacterial small subunit ribosomal RNA
Source: RNAcentral